RNAcentral lists this unclassified non-coding RNA (248 nucleotides) under Hevea brasiliensis (rubber tree). Lineage: Eukaryota; Viridiplantae; Streptophyta; Magnoliopsida; Malpighiales; Euphorbiaceae. The record is from RNAcentral.
CAUCAUCGGAAUUUUGGCCAUUUUAGAUCCUUGUCGUGGAGUGUGUCGCGGUCCUGGUCCGCUGCAAGGCAGCUCCAGGCGAUUGGGAAUAAUUUGGCGGCACCCAGAGCCAAUGAAAUUGUCUCUACUAAUGGAAUUGUGGUGGCUGUUUAUGCCAUGAACUCAAUUUUGUUGUUUGUAAUGUGGGCUUUGGUGGCAGCGAUACCUUGCCAGGACAGAGGGUUGCAAGUGCAUUUCUCGAUUCCUAG